AUACAUGCAAGUCGUACGCUUCUUUUUCCACCGGAGCUUGCUCCACCGGAAAAAGAAGAGUGGCGAACGGGUGAGUAACACGUGGGUAACCUGCCCAUCAGAAGGGGAUAACACUUGGAAACAGGUGCUAAUACCGUAUAACAAUCGAAACCGCAUGGUUUUGAUUUGAAAGGCGCUUUCGGGUGUCGCUGAUGGAUGGACCCGCGGUGCAUUAGCUAGUUGGUGAGGUAACGGCUCACCAAGGCCACGAUGCAUAGCCGACCUGAGAGGGUGAUCGGCCACAUUGGGACUGAGACACGGCCCAAACUCCUACGGGAGGCAGCAGUAGGGAAUCUUCGGCAAUGGACGAAAGUCUGACCGAGCAACGCCGCGUGAGUGAAGAAGGUUUUCGGAUCGUAAAACUCUGUUGUUAGAGAAGAACAAGGAUGAGAGUAACUGUUCAUCCCUUGACGGUAUCUAACCAGAAAGCCACGGCUAACUACGUGCCAGCAGCCGCGGUAAUACGUAGGUGGCAAGCGUUGUCCGGAUUUAUUGGGCGUAAAGCGAGCGCAGGCGGUUUCUUAAGUCUGAUGUGAAAGCCCCCGGCUCAACCGGGGAGGGUCAUUGGAAACUGGGAGACUUGAGUGCAGAAGAGGAGAGUGGAAUUCCAUGUGUAGCGGUGAAAUGCGUAGAUAUAUGGAGGAACACCAGUGGCGAAGGCGGCUCUCUGGUCUGUAACUGACGCUGAGGCUCGAAAGCGUGGGGAGCAAACAGGAUUAGAUACCCUGGUAGUCCACGCCGUAAACGAUGAGUGCUAAGUGUUGGAGGGUUUCCGCCCUUCAGUGCUGCAGCUAACGCAUUAAGCACUCCGCCUGGGGAGUACGACCGCAAGGUUGAAACUCAAAGGAAUUGACGGGGGCCCGCACAAGCGGUGGAGCAUGUGGUUUAAUUCGAAGCAACGCGAAGAACCUUACCAGGUCUUGACAUCCUUUGACCACUCUAGAGAUAGAGCUUCCCCUUCGGGGGCAAAGUGACAGGUGGUGCAUGGUUGUCGUCAGCUCGUGUCGUGAGAUGUUGGGUUAAGUCCCGCAACGAGCGCAACCCUUAUUGUUAGUUGCCAUCAUUCAGUUGGGCACUCUAGCAAGACUGCCGGUGACAAACCGGAGGAAGGUGGGGAUGACGUCAAAUCAUCAUGCCCCUUAUGACCUGGGCUACACACGUGCUACAAUGGGAAGUACAACGAGUCGCGAAGUCGCGAGGCUAAGCUAAUCUCUUAAAGCUUCUCUCAGUUCGGAUUGUAGGCUGCAACUCGCCUACAUGAAGCCGGAAUCGCUAGUAAUCGCGGAUCAGCACGCCGCGGUGAAUACGUUCCCGGGCCUUGUACACACCGCCCGUCACACCACGAGAGUUUGUAACACCCGAAGUCGGUGAGGUAACCUUUUGGAGCCAGCC
Molecule: ribosomal RNA, 1431 nt
Filed under: Enterococcus durans
Lineage: Bacteria; Bacillati; Bacillota; Bacilli; Lactobacillales; Enterococcaceae
Description: bacterial SSU rRNA
Rfam family: Bacterial small subunit ribosomal RNA
Source: RNAcentral